GCAGCCGCCGCGGGAAUACGAAGGGUGCAAGCGUUACUCAGAAUUACUGGGCAUAAAGCGUGCGUAGGUGGUGGUUUAAGUCCGUUGUGAAAGCCCUGGGCUCAACCUGGGAAUUGCAGUGGAUACUGGGUCACUAGAGUGUGGUAGAGGAUAGUGGAAUUUCCGGUGUAGCAGUGAAAUGCGUAGAGAUCGGAAGGAACAUCUGUGGCGAAGGCGACUAUCUGGGCCAACACUGACACUGAGGCACGAAAGCGUGGGGAGCAAACAGGAUUAGAUACCCCGGUAGUCCCUGUCUCUUAUU
This 301-nucleotide ribosomal RNA is filed under the name uncultured bacterium. Its description in RNAcentral is "partial 16S ribosomal RNA". It matches the Rfam family "Bacterial small subunit ribosomal RNA", at positions 508 to 808 of the family's 1533-position model. The record is from RNAcentral.